Long non-coding RNA from Mercenaria mercenaria, 1223 nucleotides. RefSeq lists it as uncharacterized. Lineage: Eukaryota; Metazoa; Mollusca; Bivalvia; Venerida; Veneridae. The transcript has 5 exons. The record is from RefSeq and is a predicted model, not a curated record.
GUCUGAAACUGGGUCAGAGAAUACAUGCAGUUAUUGCUCUGAAUAUACGCGGAUAUUUAAAGUGCCUGGCGGAUUUAAUAAUUGUUAUGUUAAUUUUCGUUAUAAAUUUAUUCGUAAUUGGAGGCAAAACAAAAUGGACAGACCGCUUCGUUUGUUGACUUAUCGAAGAUACAACUUUGCAGCGAAAAAUAGCAGUGUUGACAUUUCGAUUCGACUGUCUGCUGUCAAAUACUUUUAAUAUCGUUCCUGUGUAUUUGAUAACCUCCAGCAGUAAGAAAUAUAAAGGCUCACUGCAGUUUUGAGUGCUCAACAAGUAUUGACCCCAUACUAUGCUCAGCAAGUAGGGCCCUUGUAUUUCUGUGAAUCCUCAUGCAGUACAGUACUGCUGUUGGAAGAGGAGCAAACAGUGUGGUAUCUAUGGUCCACCAUCACUUCAAGCAUCAUGGCUAUGGAGAAAAAGAAUGUUUCAUUACAUAUGGACAAUUAUAGUGGAACAAAAUAAGAAAAGUGUUGUACAUUUGUAAUAAGCUAUGGAAUGUGGCUUGUUAUGAUGGGUCUACAUGAUGACUUGGAGUACAACCUGAUUGAGGCCCUGCAUACAGAAUUCAGUCCUGAACAUGUUUAGAAUGUCUUCUGCAUGACCUGGUAUAGAUAGUAUUCUUGAAGGAUUAUAACUUCAACACAUAGACGGAGAUUAAUAUUUUUAGGCAGGGUGUUGGCAUGACAGGCAAAUUCACCAACCGUAUUACCAUUCCUGAGCUGGAUGCCAGUCGACAGUGGUACUUGUAUAAUGAAAUAGCGCCCCUUUGCAGCAACAGCAAUGUAUGCUCAAACCAGCAGUGUCAAAGCCAUUAAAAUUGAUAAUUCAAGUUAUUUAAAACGAAGAAUGAAUGGAAAAAAGUGUUUAACAUUUAAAGUAAUACAGAGAAAGAGCUCUGAAAUUUUGAUUAAUUUGAAAGUGUUCUUGAUUUUUUGAAGAUGUACUAGACCCAAAUUCCAUAUAUUUGAAAAAGAACAAAUGAUACAUAUAGUUUAUGUAAACAUUGAAUUAACAACUUUAUGGUGUCAACAGUACUAUGCAUUUGUUAAAUAUUGACUCACUAUAUACAUGUAAGGCUGAACACAGUAUAAAUGUGAAAUUCCUCUAAAACACUGGAAGAUUUUUCAACAAUAAUUGUAACAUACAUGGUAGUAAUGUACAUUUUUUUCAUUACGACAGUUGG